GGCUAAAUAGCUCAGCUGGUUAGAGCACAUCACUCAUAAUGAUGGGGUCCCAAGUUCAACUCUUGGUUUAGCCACCA
Molecule: transfer RNA, 77 nt
Filed under: Marinobacter maritimus
Lineage: Bacteria; Pseudomonadati; Pseudomonadota; Gammaproteobacteria; Pseudomonadales; Marinobacteraceae
Also listed under: 4 other names
Description: tRNA-Met
Rfam family: tRNA
About the family: Transfer RNA (tRNA) molecules are approximately 80 nucleotides in length. Their secondary structure includes four short double-helical elements and three loops (D, anti-codon, and T loops).
Source: RNAcentral